Molecule: unclassified non-coding RNA, 307 nt
Filed under: plant metagenome
Description: partial contains 5.8S ribosomal RNA, internal transcribed spacer 2, and large subunit ribosomal RNA
Rfam family: 5.8S ribosomal RNA (bases 1-105)
Source: RNAcentral
GAAAUGCGAUAAGUAAUGUGAAUUACAGAAUUCAGUGAAUCAUCGAAUCUUUGAACGCACAUUGCGCCCGCCAGCACUCUGGCGGGCAUGCCUGUUCGAGCGUCAUUUCAACCCUCAGAACCCCUUGCGGGAUCUGGCGUUGGGGAUUGGCAUCCAGCCAGCCCCGAAAUCUAGUGGCGGUCCCUCCGCGACCUCCCCUGUGCAGUAGCGAUACCUCGCAGCGGGACAGCGGUCUGACCACGCCGUAAAACCCCCAACUUCUCAAGGUUGACCUCGAAUCAGGUAGGAAUACCCGCUGAACUUAAGC